This 771-nucleotide long non-coding RNA is filed under the name Gopherus agassizii (Agassiz's desert tortoise). RNAcentral describes it as "lncRNA (ENSGAGG00000019341.1)". Lineage: Eukaryota; Metazoa; Chordata; Testudines; Testudinidae. The record is from RNAcentral.
UAGCUCCCUCGCCCACUUAGCCAGCCAGUCCCCCUCCCACCCAUCCAUCCCUCUUCGGGCGCGGGCUGGGAAGAGGGGGCUCUGGACCGGUGGGGAAGGGGAGCUGCUGAGAUGCUGCGCCUGGGCGAGGAGGCUCCAAAGAGAUGGAGGCCCCUUGCCUAGCCAUGUGAACGGGAGUUCUGGCUCCUUCCCGGUGCUGCCUGGCUGCGGGGCUCAAAGGCAGUGCUCUGGCAUGUCACUGAUUGCACAUUACCUGCCCGAGUGUCCCCGCGCCCCAAUAAUUAGAAGGCACUGGAAGAUACUUGCUCCAGGAUGGAGUGGGCGAGGCCGGCGUGAUCGACACAAACGGGAGUGGACUUACCUUCUGGGGCAGCGCUCGGGGAGUGUUGUACGGGGACAGGUGGAUCAAACGUGUGUGUGUGUGUGUGUAAAGAGAGCCUGUUAACACACAGCCGCGUCCAUAGCUAUACAGUCCGUUUAUGACCAUAGAACACCAGCGGGGAUUGUCUCUGCUCACCGCCUUGCGUUCCGGCUAUGCCUGCUCUAUAAACGCUUUAAAGCCCUUAAAACUCCACGUCCUCUUUUGCAACUUUUUUUCAAAAUCCCUCCCUGUAUUUAAUAUGUUUUCAGUCCAUGGUGUGUUGUGUGUUUUGUUUUUUGUUUUGUUUUGUUUUUAAUCUUUUCAGCAAAGCCGUUUGCACCUUUGGGGUUUUUCACAUUUGGUUUGGUUCAUUUCGGCUGUUGUAAACGAGGCACGCCAAUAAAAACCGG